RNAcentral lists this long non-coding RNA (4116 nucleotides) under Triticum aestivum (bread wheat). RNAcentral's name for it is "long non-coding RNA (TAES_LNC020930)". Lineage: Eukaryota; Viridiplantae; Streptophyta; Magnoliopsida; Poales; Poaceae. The record is from RNAcentral.
AGGUUUAUAAAGAAUAAAUUUAUCUUUCCUAUACACAAAUAUCCAUCCAGCACAAAAUAUAACCUCUCACAAGAACAGUUUAUGUCUGGAAUAUUUGGACUGAUGUCAUAUUCAUGCAUCCAUGAUCAAAGCUCAAGUGUCAGUCUACAUGGAUUAAACCAGGGGAGCAUACCUCAAUAUCAUUUCAAGUAUACUAAUAGAAAAUAGCGGCCCAUUACAUUAGAAUUUAUGUAUAAUGGAUAAAAUCAAUUUGUUAUUUAUUUUACAGAACCAGUAGAGGAUGUCCAUAUAGAACAUGACAAGUAGAGUUGCCGAUCUGAGCUAAGAUGUGCACAAUCUGGAAAUGCAAAAUAUCUUAAGUCAUCCGGUUGUUUCCUGACUAACGGACUGCUAUUCUUCUCACAUAGCAAGUCAUUUUUUGUGUGUGAAUUCCAUUCAAUGAAAGAAUAUAGAAGGCUUAGAUAUGCUGUAUAUGCACUACUCAGUUUAUUUCGAAAGCAAAAAAAAAAGUGUGCUUGCAUGGUGGAUUACACAAAUCAAAUAGAUAACGGCAAUGAUGAAUCUUGGCAGGAAGUGCACUAACCAGUCCAGUAGCCGUGGAUGAACUUCGGGUAGGGAAACUGCAAUCGAAGUGAAUCCUUAUACCUGUAAAAUAUCAUCUCUGUCAAUAAAAAGAUGGGAAGCGAAAUAACAUUGAGGUCACAUCUGCGAAGGUAAUGAGAUACUCCAUCUGCUCGAGUACUUAAAUAUGUACGUCUUAAUUAUGACUAUUGGAGUGCUUGAUAUUCUUUAAUCAAGAUAUAGCCAUGUACUCUAAGAUCAAAUUGUAUGGAGAAGUGUUCAUAACAACAUAAGCACAUGGUAUAUGUGUGUAUAUAAAUAAAGUAUGACACAAGAGCUUAUACAGGAUAAAUGUAGAGAAGAUGUGUCAACAACAUUAAUAGGUCACUCCAUGUCAUAGUCCUUGGCCAAGGUCAGGGGACCUUGAAUCCUAGAAAUCUGUAGAGGAGGCAUCAUCAGGAGCAAUCUAUCACAACUCACAAAAUCACCCAAGAGGCAGGUACAGACUAUGUUAACCAUUUAUGUGUACAGAAUAUAUUAACUUGCACCACACCGGAGACAUUUCUCACCGGUAGCGGAUUAAUUAAUUUUCUGAUUAACACACAAGCUCGAGCCUGCUGCCGUAAUCAGCUUAUGACCAAAGGUGAAAGAAAUAGAUAAAUCACAAAAUUGGCAUAACUAUUUGCCAACUAAAAUAUAAAUAUCCUAGGUAUGCUUAAAUAUCCGACCCUGCUGCCGCAAUCAGCUUAUGAUCAAUGGUGUUUUUCAAAGCAAUAAAGGCAAGGAAAUGCUAUAAAAGAAUUAUGGCUCCAAAAAAUGCAAUAAAGGCAGCAAACUAAUGUUUUCACAUGGCUGUUUGUUGAUGUGCUAGCUACAAUUAUAGAUUGUACUAUUCAAGUUCAGGCUGUUGUGCCCACAUGUAAGGCCAUUCAAAGAGAUCAGUGUUCACAUGUAAUAUGAUGUGUUCCUCUUGAGCAUGCCAUCUACGAACGACCACCUGGAAAUAUCAGGCAGGAGAUGAGUACAUGUAAACAAGCAAUUGUGUGUAAUUAUCAGAAUUCUGACAGCUAAGACCGCUCGAAAUUUCCAACACAGUAUGAAAAAUCUUUGUUUGGCUCUUCUCUUUCCAAGUAUAGUACAUCUUCCAGGUGCAUUGUUUUCUUAACUAUUUUUCACCCACCACUCUAUAGACAGGAAAUGUGAAUCUUGAUACAUAAAUACACAUGAGCACUGUGAGUUAUCUGAUUCAGACUCGGAUAUACAUGUAACUGUAGUUUAAGAAGUUAUAGCAUCAGUUCCGGAGAAAACUCUUAAACUAUAGUACACAAUAAAAGGGGAUAUAUAAAUCACCGUACUUCAAAGGUGAUGAACUUGAUUUGGAACAGGGGCAAGUACCUGAGACGGGUGGGUAGUAAGGAAGAAUCCAACAGUAGGUGCAAACUCAUUCCCGUGCCUAAAAGGAUUGCAGACAGUGGAGAAGCAAUCAGUGGCAUAUCAUAUUGCAUCACAGAAUGGAAUCAUCCAAAACCGAACAACGUUAAUCAUUAGAACAUGUGGAAAAUGCGAGUGAAAUGAACAAAUGAUGCAAUGAAAUUUCACAAACCUAAACAGUGGAUAGCAACUUUUUCGGAUGUCCCAGAAACAGGUUAAGGGGUCAAACAGAAGAGGGAAAAUUGCAAGGCAGCAUGAUGUUGCUAAUCUAGAACUACUCCACAAAGCAAGUUUGGAUCUACUCUCAGAUCUAGUCUCAGAACUACUACACAAAGCAAGUUUCGAUCUACUCCAUAGCUUUCAUGGCCACCGUCUCUCGCUGUAGUAGUCUCGCUCAUCCUCUUUUAUUUUUUCGGUAGAUGCCCACAGCCACAACACAAUAAAAACUAUCCUUGGGCUAAUGAAAAUAUACGUGAAUACUGAAUCUGCUCAAUAGUAGAAGAGAGUUCAGUUAUCACCUCAGCUCACCUAGGAAGCAACAACUUCCAUUUCCAAGAGAAAAAUGACCAGGAAACGUAAGCCGCUAUUGGCUUGAUACCUGCAAACGACUAAUUGUUCAACACUACUUUGGGAACGAUCGCUCUGAGCAAUUAACAGUAAUAAACAAAGAACAAAAAGGAACAAAACAAAGCCAGGUUUUUUCACCUAAAAGGAAUUGUCAAAUGCAGCGAUAGCAUGCGUGCAUUUCUCUCCAAAUUGCACAUGAGCUUUGACUGUAGGGAAGAGAUAAAAUUUCCCACAAACAAACAAACGUCCACAAUAGCUGCAAGUUGCAUCUACUAUCAAAGGAACACUUAGCAUAUCUCAAAUAAAUAGGUACGAUAACCGUGAUCUCAGGAAGCGUAGGAAGAUGCAUCUUAUACUCUAGAGUUCAGAUAUAUCAAUAAUUCAUUUUAUCCGACCUCUUUGGAGUUACACUGUUAAAGGGCAUUGUUAAACUAAACAACCGUUCUUAUCCUGUAACAUGCUACUACUUAGUUGCACCCCUCUUACUCCUGACACUACGAACUCCAGUUUAUGUUGCGUAUGUUAUGCAUAUACAAACGAUGUAUAAAGCUUGAACAUGGCAAAAAAAUGCAAGGGAUUACCUGAAUAUAUGAUGCUGCAGUACACCAAUUUUUCUAACUGAAAUUAAACCUACCACUUCCUGCUCUCAGAUUUUAGUUCAUUUAUAAACUCUACAUUCUACUCAUACAAGCAUACCACAUCUAAUGUUCUGCUAUAACCCAGAUUAUUGUUACCUUACUAAACUCAUAAUUAUUAUCAGUUUAUAAUGGAAAUAAAAUACCCUAACGCAACCCCUAGUAAAUGACAUUACGAACUGCGGUGUAUGUGUGUGCUGCUAUGAUUCAGAUAACUGAACUCUGUUCUACUAUUGAGCAGGUUCAGUACAAGAUUUGGAAGUAUAUAGUGGUAACUAAUAAAAAUUUGGAAGUAUAAAAGGAAUCAUACAACCUGCAAGAUCUACUAUAGCCAAGCAAAAGUGGUAUUGUUAAGCAUUGGUAAAUAACUAAAUAUAGUAAAGGACAAAAUGACUUGGCAAAAGCAAUCAACACAACAAAAAGAGAGAUGCAAGUCAGCGAUAAUUAGUUGUCGUACUGUUCUUUUGAAACUAUACAUAUCUGUAAUGUUCUUUUGAAACUAUACAUAUCUGUACCAGUUGACCAUGACUGCACAAAUCUACAUGAUAACAUGUUUUCAAAACAUAUCCUGAAGGGAAAAUGGACCGCAUGAAAGAAACAGGCGCAAUCAUCCAUGGAUAGCAGGAUUGUACAGCAUGCUAAACUACAGUAAAAUGGAAUAUAUAAGUUAUAUCACAAUCCGUCUAAAUGUGCAAGAAACAGUUUUCUUACAUAGUUUUAUAUGUACUGUGCAUCUCCCUGCAAUAUUCAGUACCAAGCAGGCUGUAAAUGUCAUGGGUACGAUACAGUCUAUUACUCUGAUUUCGAUAAGCUCUUUACACAUAUUAUAGGAUAAAAAUAUUCUUAAAACGAGAUGGAAGUUUUUAAACAAAUCGUCAUCAAUGGAAAUUAUUUGCAUACUGAAAGAUAUAUUGAGCCUUAC